GGACACUUUGCUGAGGACACCCGAGCAGGCAGAACGUGCGUUACUGCAGGGGACGAAGGUAGAUAGAGCAACUGUCAAGAAGGACGUGCGUACUGUUUGACGAUCACCCCAAGACCCAAAACACUCGGCUCACGACCAUUCCAGAGAGCGUGUUUUUACAUCGUCCUUCCCUUCUGUUUGAAUCCAGUCCACGCCAUGCAUCGCCAACGCCUCCUCCUCCUACUUCUCCUCUCCUUCCUGGAUGGCAUCUUGGGUAAUAUCGAGGACUUGAUCGCGGACUGCACGGAUUUCCGGCGGUGCCAGUGUGCCCAGGGCGUCACGGGAGGGAGGCCUGCCUUGGCAUUCGUCACCAACACCAAGAUUAACACAAUAUGCAU
This is a long non-coding RNA of Scylla paramamosain (green mud crab), 377 nucleotides long. RefSeq lists it as uncharacterized. The transcript is spliced from 3 exons. The record is from RefSeq and is a predicted model, not a curated record. Lineage: Eukaryota; Metazoa; Arthropoda; Malacostraca; Decapoda; Portunidae.